CUAGUACUCCCUCCGUCCGAAAUACUUGUCCUAGAAAUGGAUAAAAUGGAUGUAUCUAUAACUAAAAUAAGUCUAGAUACAACCAUUUCCCGAACAAGUAUUUCCGGAUGGAGGGAGUAGUUG
Molecule: non-coding RNA, 123 nt
Organism: Triticum aestivum (bread wheat)
Lineage: Eukaryota; Viridiplantae; Streptophyta; Magnoliopsida; Poales; Poaceae
Source: Rfam